UGUAUUGGGUUUCCAACCUCCCCGUUCGUCUCAGCUGACAAGUAAGUACCAAGUAACAGUGAUUUGUGUGUACUGAACCAUCAACAUAUUAAACUGCAGACCCAUACCAAGACUGGUGAUAGAUAUGUAGAUUGACGCAUGCUGACUGGGGACUAUGGGUAGGGAAAACCAUUUUGCAGUAAUUAG
Long non-coding RNA from Saccostrea echinata, 186 nucleotides. RefSeq lists it as uncharacterized. The transcript has 3 exons. The record is from RefSeq and is a predicted model, not a curated record. Lineage: Eukaryota; Metazoa; Mollusca; Bivalvia; Ostreida; Ostreidae.